CAAGUUUUAACGCUGAGUUUCCGUAAAAGGAAAACGGGGGAACCGCUGUCAAGGUCGGAACAGCUUUUGGGCCGAUACAACAGGAAACAAUUUGGGGUGAAUCUCAAUGGCAGGUGCAGGCAGCACCGCCGGCGAGUAGGGCAGCUCUCACGGCCCGAAUCCGUCAGCUAACCUCGUAAGCGUACCGGGAGAGAUA
This is a regulatory RNA element of Paenibacillus sp. HGF7, 196 nucleotides long. It matches the Rfam family "c-di-AMP riboswitch aptamer (ydaO/yuaA leader)". Rfam says of the family: This family represents a conserved RNA structure found upstream of the ydaO and yuaA genes in Bacillus subtilis and related genes in other bacteria. The ydaO/yuaA element is thought to act as a genetic "off" switch for the ydaO and yuaA genes in its native state. Lineage: Bacteria; Bacillati; Bacillota; Bacilli; Caryophanales; Paenibacillaceae. The record is from Rfam.